Long non-coding RNA from Mustela lutreola (European mink), 1497 nucleotides. RefSeq lists it as uncharacterized. The transcript has 2 exons. Lineage: Eukaryota; Metazoa; Chordata; Mammalia; Carnivora; Mustelidae. The record is from RefSeq and is a predicted model, not a curated record.
CCCUAGGGCGUAACACCAGAGCCACAUUAAAAAAUAUCAAACUAAAUGUCAACUAAUAAACCUGUUUUAAAAAGGGGAGAAGAAAGAAGCUUAAACAGUUCUUUUUACUAAAAACGAAGCAAACGUUUUGGAGUAAAGAAUAAGCGUCUACAACCACGGGCAAACAGGUCAGCGUCAUCGGAUCAGAUUACUACCACGCCAGGCAAAAACCUACGCAGGACCCAGGCAGAUGCCGCCAGCGACAAACUCUCUGUGCUGUCACAUUCAAUGGAAAAAGGCUAUCAAGAGGAGGGUACUGAGAACACAUACCAACGGAUACCCCACAGUGGGACCCAAUAAGAUUGAUGUUGAUUUGAGAGAUGGCUCCCAUGCGAAUUUGAUCAAAUGCUCGGGUCAAGAAGGCAGCAAAGGUGCUAGCAAAAGCAACGGUCCGACCACGGGUGGCACAUCCCAGUGCCACGCUCACCUGCAAUGCAAAGGAGACAAAUCAGAACAGCCCUGGAACGGCUGCCAGAGAAGCACCAUGAAUGAAUGUGCGGGCUGGCGGAGGCAGGGACAUGGCUAGCUGGCUGUGGACACCCAUCUAAAGGGGGUCCCUGCUUGGCUCCAAGCAACGGGUAGCAGGAGGGAAUGCUGCCUCUGUGCUGACAGAUCUUCCUAGCACCUACAGCUGCUGACAAGCUUGGGAUACUUCGGACCUAGAUCCUUGGUGUCAUGGCUGUGACUCUUGGCCUGCUGCCCUCAGUAUACCUGGAGAUGGUUCUGUCUACUAUGCCCUUCCUAGUGGUCCCAUAAGGCACCCCACAAAUUGCCUGGCUACUCUCUACUUGUUUCCUCAGAGACAUUUUUUCUCUAGUUCCUUUGCUUUUUUAAGUGGAAAGAAGAACCAUAAUAUGGGGCUUGCCUCCUGUGCCCAGCAGGCCACUGUCAGUGAGAAGACCCAAGAGGGACACCCACAGCACACGCACCAUGUUCUGCUCGGCGAUGAAACAUUCAAUGAAGCGCUCAGGGUGUUCUCUCUUGAAUAUGUCUGAGAAGGUGGAGUUCUUGGUGUCACCAUCCAGCACAAUGACUCUAUCAUUUGCAUGGCCCAGCUUGGCCAGAGCCAAACCACAUGCUCUCCGAGUAGCUAUCUGGAAAAGUCAGUGGAGUUUCUUAGAGCAAAUUUAGAAGGAAGGUGAAGUUUUGUGGAUUACCAGUUGUCUUCUGUCUUAGAAACAAAUUGGUGAUUUACCAAUAAUCUUCUUUAGGGUUUUAAAAAUGGGUUGCUAGCCCAUCUUAAAUCCAUACUUGACUCACUGGGUAUCAAUUCUCAAAAGUAAACUUAUUCUUCUGCCCCAUUCAUAUAGUUUACCAAAAAACUUAAAUGUCACCAAAUGCAAAUGCCUGUUGACUUUUUAAACUAUAAAACUGGUAAGGCUAACUGCAAAAAAAUAAAAUGUAAAACUUUAGAAUCAUGAUACCAGUAAUAAAAAAUUCCAUUAGCAUAUUAUUUGA